CUUUUAGAAAACAAAGCUUGCAACAAAUCUGAAAUUGUCUUUUAAGGUGAGAACUUCUGGCAUUCCCUAUCAGGGCAGAUUGCAGCAUUUGAAGUCAGCCUGAUAAAGAAAUUAAAAGUGGUGGUUGUUGACAUCAUCAUAACAUUCAUAUCCAAAUCUCAUCCAAAGAGGAGGUAAGGCGAAGUGUUGCUGACAAGUCAUCUGGACAACCUGCGUAAUGUAACAGACUUAAAAAUGCAUGCAGGCACACAACAGGAGGCUCUGUUGUUCAGGCCUAACUAGAUUGCUGAUGCUUCUGUUCCUCAGGAUUCUCCUUGGAUCAGAUGAGAGAAAGAAAAUGAGAAGAUGUGUGUGCUGA
This 358-nucleotide long non-coding RNA is filed under the name Numida meleagris (helmeted guineafowl). Its description in RNAcentral is "lncRNA (ENSNMEG00000022127.1)". The record is from RNAcentral. Lineage: Eukaryota; Metazoa; Chordata; Aves; Galliformes; Numididae.